This 468-nucleotide ribosomal RNA is filed under the name uncultured bacterium. Its description in RNAcentral is "partial 16S ribosomal RNA". It matches the Rfam family "Bacterial small subunit ribosomal RNA", at positions 28 to 507 of the family's 1533-position model. The record is from RNAcentral.
GACGAACGCUGGCGGCGUGCUUAACACAUGCAAGUCGAACGGAAAGGCCCUGCGUUUGUGGGGUGCUCGAGUGGCGAACGGGUGAGUAACACGUGAGUAACCUGCCCUUGACUUUGGGAUAACUUCAGGAAACUGGGGCUAAUACCGGAUAGGAGCUCCUGCUGCAUGGUGGGGGUUGGAAAGUUUCGGCGGUUGGGGAUGGACUCGCGGCUUAUCAGCUUGUUGGUGGGGUAGUGGCUUACCAAGGCUUUGACGGGUAGCCGGCCUGAGAGGGUGACCGGCCACAUUGGGACUGGGAUACGGCCCAGACUCCUACGGGAGGCAGCAGUGGGGAAUAUUGCACAAUGGGCGGAAGCCUGAUGCAGCAACGCCGCGUGCGGGAUGACGGCCUUCGGGUUGUAAACCGCUUUCGCCUGUGACGAAGCGUGAGUGACGGUAAUGGGUAAAGAAGCACCGGCUAACUACGUG